Molecule: ribosomal RNA, 514 nt
Filed under: uncultured bacterium
Lineage: Bacteria
Description: partial 16S ribosomal RNA
Rfam family: Bacterial small subunit ribosomal RNA
Source: RNAcentral
GAUGAACGCUGGCGGCGUGCCUAAUACAUGCAAGUCGAGCGAACAGAUGAGAAGCUUGCUUCUCUGAUGUUAGCGGCGGACGGGUGAGUAACACGUGGGUAACCUACCUAUAAGACUGGGAUAACUCCGGGAAACCGGGGCUAAUACCGGAUAAUAUUUUUAACCGCAUGGUCCAAUAGUGAAAGACGGUUUCGGCUGUCACUUAUAGAUGGACCCGCGCCGUAUUAGCUAGUUGGUAAGGUAACGGCUUACCAAGGCGACGAUACGUAGCCGACCUGAGAGGGUGAUCGGCCACACUGGAACUGAGACACGGUCCAGACUCCUACGGGAGGCAGCAGUAGGGAAUCUUCCGCAAUGGGCGAAAGCCUGACGGAGCAACGCCGCGUGAGUGAUGAAGGUCUUCGGAUCGUAAAACUCUGUUGCUAGGGAAGAACAAAUUUGUUAGUAACUGAACAAGUCUUGACGGUACCUAACCAGAAAGCCACGGCUAACUACGUGCCAGCCGCCGCAGUAA